Molecule: unclassified non-coding RNA, 305 nt
Filed under: uncultured fungus
Lineage: Eukaryota; Fungi
Description: partial contains 5.8S ribosomal RNA and internal transcribed spacer 2
Rfam family: 5.8S ribosomal RNA (bases 3-133)
Source: RNAcentral
UAGUUCUGGCAUCGAUGAAGAACGCAGCGAAAUGCGAUAAGUAAUGUGAAUUGCAGAAUUCAGCGAAUCAUCGAAUCUUUGAACGCACAUUGCGCCCGUUAGUAUUCUGACGGGCAUGCCUGUUCGAGCGUCAUUUCAACCCUCAGGCCCAGCCUGGCGAUGGGGGCUCGUUGUACGACCCCUAAAAUACAGUGGCAGGCUCUGCUAUAUUCCGAGUGCAGUAAUCUCUCGCUUAGGACUCUAGUGGAUACUAGCCUAACCAUACUUCCAAGGUUGACCUCGGAUCAGGUAGGAAUACCCGCUGA